UCACAAGCAUGGUUUAGUGCACUGUUCCCAUUUCCCAGAAAGAUUAACAUUGUAAAAUCUCUGUUAGCACUUGCAUAAUGAAGAGGGGUUCAACUUACAAUGUUUGAAUUUCCUUUUGAUGAACUAACAUAUGAUGAUUGACUUGUUCUAAAUGAAUAUAUGCACAAAAAGACAGAGGCAGUAGAAAUCAAAACACAAGAAUGCAUA
RNAcentral lists this unclassified non-coding RNA (207 nucleotides) under Hevea brasiliensis (rubber tree). The record is from RNAcentral. Lineage: Eukaryota; Viridiplantae; Streptophyta; Magnoliopsida; Malpighiales; Euphorbiaceae.